CCUACGGGUGGCAGCAGUGGGGAAUAUUGCACAAUGGAGGAAACCCUGAUGCAGCGACGCCGCGUGCGUGAAGAAGUCUUUCGGUAUGGAAAGCUCUAUUAGCAGAGGAGAAAAUGACGGUACCUGACUACGAAGCCCCGGCUAACUACGUGCCAGAAGCGCCGGUAAUACGUAGGGGGCAGGCGUUAUCCGGAUUUACUGGGUGUAAAGAGUUCGUAGGCGGAAUGUAAAGUCCGGUGUUAAAGGCGCAGGCUAAACCUGUGUAUGGCACUUGAUACUGGCGAGCUGGAAUGCGGUAGAGGUAGAGGGAAUUCCUGGUGUAGCGGUGAAAUGCUUAGAUAUCAGGAGGAACAUCGAUUGCGUAAGCGCUUUACUGGGCCGUAAUUGACGCUGAGGAACGAAAGCCAGGGUAGCAAAUGGGAUUAGAUACCCCUGUAGUC
RNAcentral lists this ribosomal RNA (440 nucleotides) under uncultured bacterium. RNAcentral's name for it is "partial 16S ribosomal RNA". It matches the Rfam family "Bacterial small subunit ribosomal RNA", at positions 338 to 795 of the family's 1533-position model. The record is from RNAcentral.